AACGAACGCUGGCGGCAUGCCUAACACAUGCAAGUCGAACGAGACCUUCGGGUCUAGUGGCGCACGGGUGCGUAACGCGUGGGAAUCUGCCCUUCGGUUCGGAAUAACUCAGGGAAACUUGAGCUAAUACCGGAUAAUGACGUAAGUCCAAAGAUUUAUCGCCGAAGGAUGAGCCCGCGUAGGAUUAGCUUGUUGGUGGGGUAAUGGCCCACCAAGGCGACGAUCCUUAGCUGGUCUGAGAGGAUGAUCAGCCACACCGGGGCUGAGACACGGCCCAGACUCCUACGGGAGGCAGCAGUGGGGAAUAUUGGACAAUGGGCGAAAGCCUGAUCCAGCAAUGCCGCGUGAGUGAUGAAGGCCUUAGGGUUGUAAAGCUCUUUUACCCGGGAUGAUAAUGACAGUACCGGGAGAAUAAGCUCCGGCUAACUCCGUG
This 433-nucleotide ribosomal RNA is filed under the name uncultured bacterium. Its description in RNAcentral is "bacterial SSU rRNA". It matches the Rfam family "Bacterial small subunit ribosomal RNA", at positions 29 to 507 of the family's 1533-position model. The record is from RNAcentral.